This 416-nucleotide ribosomal RNA is filed under the name uncultured bacterium. RNAcentral describes it as "bacterial SSU rRNA". It matches the Rfam family "Bacterial small subunit ribosomal RNA", at positions 28 to 437 of the family's 1533-position model. The record is from RNAcentral.
GAUGAACGCUAGCUACAGGCUUAACACAUGCAAGUCGAGGGGCAGCAUUAGGUAGCAAUACUGAGAUGGCGACCGGCGCACGGGUGCGUAACGCGUAUCCAACCUUCCCGUUACUCAUGGAUAGCCUUCCGAAAGGGAGAUUAAUACAUGAUGGUGUUGAAAUUCCGCAUGUUAUUUCAACUAAAGAUUUAUCGGUAACGGAUGGGAUGCGUGACAUUAGAUAGAUGGCGGGGUAACGGCCCACCAUGUCCACGAUGUCUAGGGGUUCUGAGAGGAAGGUCCCCCACACUGGAACUGAGACACGGUCCAGACUCCUACGGGAGGCAGCAGUGAGGAAUAUUGGUCAAUGGCCGGGAAGGCUGAACCAGCCAAGUAGCGUGAAGGAUGAAGGUUCUAUGGAUUGUAAAACUUCUUUA